This 441-nucleotide ribosomal RNA is filed under the name uncultured soil bacterium. RNAcentral describes it as "bacterial SSU rRNA". It matches the Rfam family "Bacterial small subunit ribosomal RNA", at positions 26 to 506 of the family's 1533-position model. The record is from RNAcentral.
AGAGCGAACGCUGGCGGCAGGCCUAACACAUGCAAGUCGAACGGACCCUUCGGGGGUUAGUGGCGGACGGGUGAGUAACACGUGGGAACGUGCCUUUUGGUUCGGAAUAGCUCCUGGAAACGGGUGGUAUGCCGAAUGUGCCCUUCGGGGGAAAGAUUUAUCGCCAUUAGAGCGGCCCGCGUCUGAUUAGCUAGUUGGUGAGGUAAAGGCUCACCAAGGCUACGAUCAGUAGCUGGUCUGAGAGGAUGACCAGCCACAUUGGGACUGAGACACGGCCCAAACUCCUACGGGAGGCAGCAGUGGGGAAUCUGCGCAAUGGGCAAAGCCGUGACGCAGCCAUCGCCGCGUGAAUGAUGAAGGUCUAGGAUUAGUAAAAUUCGUUUACGACGGGACGAUAAGUGGAACGGUACCGGAAGUAAGAACGCCCCGGACUAACUUCGU